GAAUACAUAAUGGAUUCCGCAUGGGUUUCAUUAUUAAAGGGAUUCCGGGUAAAGGGAUGGGGGAUGCGUUCCAUUAGGUUGUUGGUGGAGGUAACGGCCCACCAAGCCUUCGAUGGAUAGGGGUUCUGAGAGGAAGGUCCCCCACAUUGGAACUGAGACACGGUCCAAACUCCUACGGGAGGCAGCAGUGAGGAAUAUUGGUCAAUGGGCGCUAGCCUGAACCAGCCAAGA
This 231-nucleotide ribosomal RNA is filed under the name Bacteroides fragilis. RNAcentral describes it as "partial 16S ribosomal RNA". It matches the Rfam family "Bacterial small subunit ribosomal RNA", at positions 171 to 396 of the family's 1533-position model. The record is from RNAcentral. Lineage: Bacteria; Pseudomonadati; Bacteroidota; Bacteroidia; Bacteroidales; Bacteroidaceae.